Long non-coding RNA from Pangasianodon hypophthalmus (striped catfish), 3525 nucleotides. RefSeq lists it as uncharacterized. The transcript is spliced from 5 exons. The record is from RefSeq and is a predicted model, not a curated record. Lineage: Eukaryota; Metazoa; Chordata; Actinopteri; Siluriformes; Pangasiidae.
UGCUCGAUAUUUAGCAUGUUAUUUAUAAAUAAUAAAAUAUGACGUGGUAUAUUACUAUGAAAAAUAAUCAAUAGCAAAGUAGUGUCAUGAAGUAAAGUUGCUGCUCCAUAGUUAUAUUCCAGUUCUAUUCACAGUAUGUCCCAGAGCGUUUUAUUCCUCUUAUACCGUAGCAGUUCGCCAACGAUUUCAAUUUUUUUAUUUACUUUUUGUCUGUUUAUAGUUAUAUUUAAUGUUGUGGAAUGACCGCAAAACAAGUAAGUUCCUGUUCUCACUUACUCACAGCGAUACAUACGCUAAGAUAUUAGAACGAGCGCAUUCAGAUAAACCCGUGAUUUGCAGCUGCACUACUGUCAGAGCUGCUGUUUGUUCAUUGUUAUUUUUGGUGGACAUUUUUGCUUCUCCAUAAUUGCGAGCAGUCCAGACUCAUGAUAGGGUUUUUCUUUCAGCAGUGACAUUUUGUUGGCCUGAUGUUUUGGUUCUUGUUGAGCCCCAUCACUAGAACAUUGACAUGCUGUGAUUGUCCUGCUUUGUGGAGACACUUUCUGUUAUUCUUAGACCUUAAGGAAGUCUCUAGUGGUCCACAUGGUUACAAGGGCAUUCCUUUUAAACCCUCCCCAUUCCCAUAUAGAGCUGGACGCUUGCCAUUUAUAUUUAGCUCCGUGCUCAGAGAUGAAACCGAUACGUGUGUAAAGGCAUUACAUACAAUCCGUGAGGCCCUGCGGUUUUCAGAGUGGACAUGAAGCACUCAUGUCCUGACCACAAAUGCUCUCUCUGGAGAAGAACACUGCAGGCUCUUCAUGGCCUACUUUGUGUGAGAGGCAGGAGGAGUGAUGGGAUCAGCAUGUCUCUCUCUCUCUCUCUCACACACACACACAUGAAACCAAAGGUUCUGGCUUUAGGAUCUGUGUUUAUAGUACCAGUACUGCUGUAGUGCUUUUCUACUGCACAUUGUGUUAGGGUACUGUGUAGUUACUAACCCAAAACUAUUCACAUCCUGGUUGACUACUGGAUCUGCUACCUCAUUUGUGUCGCUGUGUCUUUUGUUUUCUUUUGUGGCCGUGUAGCGACCGCUACCAUUGUGAGUGCUGUGGACUGUUGUGGGCCUAUCCAGCGUGUUUUUUCUUCCUGAUGAAAAAAAUGGAGCUCUCUGGUCCAGGCCUGCAGUGGUGAGGUCUUGUUUGAAUUAGCUUACAGGCGGUGAAAAUGAAAAGCGCCCCACUGUGAUGUGAAGAGCCUGGCCUGAAGGGCUUACUCAGACCGUCUCUGGCUGAAAAGCAUAUUUAUAUCUUCCAGACCAGUAAUUAAUCACCCCUGGUUGCUAGCGCUGGUGGUACAGGAGGGACGUCUCUUGUCUUCUUGGUUGAAGGUCAGAGUCCAGAGGAUUAAUGGACGUGACAUGGAAGCAGGUCAGCACUGCAGUACUUCGGAAUUCUUAACAAUGCCAGAAGUCACACUCCUGAUUCUCACUCUGCCGUUGCUCUUUUUUCCCAUCGUGCUUACACCAGACCACUGUUCGGAAUUCUUGCAGCAGUUCUCCGGUAUCCAGGUGAGAUUAAACACGGAAGCAAAGCUGUGACUUAAACUGUUUCUGAGAAGUCCAAAUCUUUAAGGAAUCCAUUUGAGACCAUCCACAGGAGCAGAAAGUGAGUCACCAAGCCAAAACGUUAAAUUUCAGCACGGCAUAUUGUGGUUAGAUGAAACCAUCAAACAGUGGAGCUGGACUUCAUGCUGCUCCUCGCUCAAGCUGAUAAGAAGAAGAAGAAGAAGAAGAAGAAGAAGAAGAAGAAGAAGAAGAAGAAGAAGGAGAAGAAGUGCAAGGUCAGGAUCGAGCCACUGUUUUUUCACUGUCCCAAUAGUGCGUAAGUCUGUACAUCUAAGUUCUGUAUACCAAUGUGCACAAUUUCAGUAUUAACUCCUCACUACAACUCAACUCUGAAUAAAAGUAUAUAACCGUACUAGAAUAGAAACCUAUUCUAAAUGCACCUAUUAAAUCUCCCGGCACUGAUAUCAGUCCUUAGAGCUUCAUUCUUCUCCUAUAGGACUUUGGUGUAUUGCUUGUGAAGAUCAGGGCAUUGUCCUAGUGACCUCGAGCUCUGGAAGUGGAAUGAGUUCAGGUUAGCUCUUUCUGUGUGAAGCAGCUUGAGUGAAUGACAGUUGAGAGGGAACGUUUGACUGCCUCUCAUGAGCACCGGGGAAAUGGAGAAGGAGGGGUGAAAGGGCAGAUGUCUGCCACAGAAUUUAAUUAGGGAGACGGCAUCCUUUGUCCUCGAUAUUGUUGCUGCAGGCGUUCUUUAAUUGCCCCCCCAACCUAAAUCCCUGGUGUCUCUUAGGUUCAUUAGCAUUUAUUCCAAAUGAGAACUGCAGCAUUCAGACUUACCUUUAAUUCAUUCUUAUGCAGACUAAAAUAUGUAGACGUUCAAAUGCCAAUUACGCUGGUUUUCCUUGUUUUUCAGAUGUUUGCCUGCUUACAUCUUGAGCCUCUUGUUUACAAAAAAAAGCUACUCUAAUUGCUGACUGCUUCAUUUAGAUACUAUCAGAGCCUACGUAAGGAGUAAAGACUCUGUGUUGUGCUGUUAUAGGAAAAUAAUCCACAACAGGGUGGUAUAAUGAAGAAGAGUUACCGUUACCACCUCAGAAAAAAUAAUGAUUGCAAUGUAAUUUAUUUAUUAAUUACACGUUCUGUUGUUUAACCUUUAUAGUUACAUUUAAUGUUGUGGAACAUUCGUGAAACAAGUAAGUUCCUGUUCUCACUUACGUUAUAGCAGCUAGAUACUUUUUUUCUCUCUUGAAGUUAAUGAGGCAGCUUGUCAUGUUACUGAGAAACAACAAAGUGUAAACUCUUCUGUUCUGAAGACAUUACUUAUGAUGGAAAACUGACACUGGAGACUCCUUCCUUAAAUAAACCUCUCCUUACAGAAAACUUUACCAUAUCAACGAUUAUAUGUUAGAUUAUGUAGAUCAUACACCAUACAAGUCCCUGUGAAUAAGCUCUUACUAUAGAAACAUUAACAACAGUUACUUUAAAAUGAUAAUCUGACCAAUCAGAUUGGAGAAUUUAACAGCGCUGUGGGAAAAAGUGUUUGUAAAAACUCAAAUGGCAAUCCAAGCAUGUGAUUACACUACAAAUGUGAUACAAAAAGUGUUCCAUGCUCUCCGUCCUCUCCCUGGGAUCCGUCCAUGGAGCGCACCUCCAGACCUCAGAGACAGGAGAAAGAGCAUGUGUAUAAUAAACAGGAAGUGGCCUGAGGGUCUCCUGCGGUGUCUUAGGGGCUCAGCCAUACCAAUAUGUAUUCAAAAGAGCUGCCGCUGUGGGGAUCAGCCCCACCCUACGGCGAGCUUAGACACAAAGGAGAAGACUUUACUGAGGAUUUCACCCACCGCUCCUGAGAGACUGAUAGCUGGAGUUGAAGGCUUUUAUCUGUGCCUGCCGGUCCCCUGACAUCAUAACCCAAAGACUCAUAAGCACCCGGCCAUUGUCAAUGUAUGAUUAUGUGCAUCUAUUGAUGUCUAUUGACUGUUUUUCAU